GAUGAACGCUGGCGGCGUGCCUAAUACAUGCAAGUCGAGCGAACAGACGAGGAGCUUGCUCCUCUGACGUUAGCGGCGGACGGGUGAGUAACACGUGGAUAACCUACCUAUAAGACUGGGAUAACUUCGGGAAACCGGAGCUAAUACCGGAUAAUAUAUUAAACCGCAUGGUUCAAUAGUGAAAGACGGUUUUGCUGUCACUUAUAGAUGGAUCCGCGCCGCAUUAGCUAGUUGGUAAGGUAACGGCUUACCAAGGCAACGAUGCGUAGCCGACCUGAGAGAGUGAUCGGCCACACUGGAACUGAGACACGGUCCAGAGUCCUACGGGAGGCAGCAGUAGGGAAUCUUCCGCAAUGGGCGAAAGCCUGACGGAGCAACGCCGCGUGAGUGAUGAAGGUCUUCGGAUCGUAAGACUCUGUUAUUAGGGAAGAACAAAUGUGUAAGUAACUAUGCACGUCUUGACGGUACCUAGUCAGAAAGCCACGGCUAACUACGUG
This 497-nucleotide ribosomal RNA is filed under the name uncultured bacterium. Its description in RNAcentral is "partial 16S ribosomal RNA". It matches the Rfam family "Bacterial small subunit ribosomal RNA", at positions 28 to 507 of the family's 1533-position model. The record is from RNAcentral.